GAAAGUUACUUCGGUACAUCGGUGACAGGUGGUGCAUGGUUGUCGUCAGCUCGUGUCGUGAGAUGUUGGGUUAAGUCCCGCAACGAGCGCAACCCCUAUUGUUAGUUGCCAUCAUUCAGUUGGGCACUCUAGCGAGACUGCCGGUAAUAAACCGGAGGAAGGUGGGGAUGACGUCAAAUCAUCAUGCCCCUUAUGACCUGGGCUACACACGUGCUACAAUGGUUGGUACAACGAGUUGCGAGUCGGUGACGGCGAGCUAAUCUCUUAAAGCCAAUCUCAGUUCGGAUUGUAGGCUGCAACUCGCCUACAUGAAGUCGGAAUCGCUAGUAAUCGCGGAUCAGCACGCCCGCGGUCGAAUACGUUCCGGGCCUU
Molecule: ribosomal RNA, 372 nt
Filed under: uncultured Streptococcus sp.
Lineage: Bacteria; Bacillati; Bacillota; Bacilli; Lactobacillales; Streptococcaceae
Description: bacterial SSU rRNA
Rfam family: Bacterial small subunit ribosomal RNA
Source: RNAcentral